RNAcentral lists this ribosomal RNA (451 nucleotides) under uncultured organism. Its description in RNAcentral is "partial 16S ribosomal RNA". It matches the Rfam family "Bacterial small subunit ribosomal RNA", at positions 332 to 799 of the family's 1533-position model. The record is from RNAcentral.
UACACUCCUACGGGAGGCAGCAGUGGGGAAUAUUGGACAAUGGGCGCAAGCCUGAUCCAGCCAUGCCGCGUGAGUGAUGAAGGCCCUAGGGUUGUAAAGCUCUUUCACCGGUGAAGAUAAUGACGGUAACCGGAGAAGAAGCCCCGGCUAACUUCGUGCCAGCAGCCGCGGUAAUACGAAGGGGGCUAGCGUUGUUCGGAUUUACUGGGCGUAAAGCGCACGUAGGCGGACUAUUAAGUCAGGGGUGAAAUCCCGGGGCUCAACCCCGGAACUGCCUUUGAUACUGGUAGUCUUGAGUUCGAGAGAGGUGAGUGGAAUUCCGAGUGUAGAGGUGAAAUUCGUAGAUAUUCGGAGGAACACCAGUGGCGAAGGCGGCUCACUGGCUCGAUACUGACGCUGAGGUGCGAAAGCGUGGGGAGCAAACAGGAUUAGAAACCCUAGUAGUCCCAUG